This 626-nucleotide ribosomal RNA is filed under the name Nidalia simpsoni. Its description in RNAcentral is "partial 16S ribosomal RNA". It matches the Rfam family "Bacterial large subunit ribosomal RNA", at positions 1843 to 2577 of the family's 2925-position model. Lineage: Eukaryota; Metazoa; Cnidaria; Anthozoa; Malacalcyonacea; Nidaliidae. The record is from RNAcentral.
GUAUAGGGGGUGAAUUCUGCCCAAUGGUUGUACAGUGAAACUGAGGACUAACGUCUAAAGCGAAACCCAACUGAAUGGCCGCGGUAACUUUGACCGUGAUAAUGUAGCACAAUAAAUAGCCAAUUAAUUGUUGGCGGGUAUGAAUGGAACCACGAGGGUCUUACUGUCUCAAGAGGAAAGCCGGUGAAAUUAUAGUUGUAGUGAAGAUACUACAUAAACAUUAUAAGACGAAAAGACCCUAUCGAGCUUUACUGGAUACCGAUAGCGUUAACUUAAAAUAAUCGAUACUAAAGUAUCCUAAUUUUAAGUUAAUAAUUUUUUUUUGGUAAGACAGUUUAGUUGGGGCGACUACCUUUGAAUAAGAAACGAAGGCGAGCUUAUGGUAUACAAAGCUAAUCUCAUUAGCCUGACAGUAAGGGGGACACCCCUAGCUGGCACAAGGAUGUAGUCCUAUGUGGGCGAUAAUGACCCGAUAUGCUUGUCCAAAAUAAAUAUCGAAAGCGGAUAAAAGCUACCGUAGGGAUAACAGCGUAAUAUUGUCGGAGAGUUCUUAUCGAGGACAGUGUUUGCGACCUCGAUGUUGAAUUGCGGUGCCCUGGUGCUGUAGAAGGUGCCUUAGGUUGGUC